UAUUAUUUAUAGCUAUUGUCGAUUUUUUUUUUUUUUUUUAUUUUAUUUUAUAUAAGGAAAAAUUGUUUCGGCUAAGUAAAAAUGCUUGAAAAUUUGAUACACGGUUUUAUUAAAUUAAAUACGAUUCUAAGCAGAUUUAAGUUGAACGUGAUAAAUUGAAAUGGAAAAUUACGGGUGCUUUUGAAAUUUCCCUUAUCUGUGUGUUCAUUCUUCUUCCCCAGCAGUUCAACACGGUAUCAUAUAUAGGAUUAAAUUCCUUCAAACAUAGUUCGUAGUCUUUAUAAAUCCUUAAUACUAUCCUAAAUAACAUUGUGAUCUUGUCUGAACAUUGUGAACUAUUAUGUGUGCUGUAUUAUUGUAUUAUUAAAUAAACUAUAAUUAU
This is a non-coding RNA of Cinara cedri, 382 nucleotides long. NCBI's taxonomy places the organism in Eukaryota, Metazoa, Arthropoda, Insecta, Hemiptera, Aphididae. The record is from the annotation of a GenBank genome assembly.